GAAUUUUUGAUUAACGCCUGAAGUUAUUCAGGCCAACUGGAAG
Regulatory RNA element from Beauveria bassiana D1-5, 43 nucleotides. It matches the Rfam family "nuoG RNA". The record is from Rfam. Lineage: Eukaryota; Fungi; Ascomycota; Sordariomycetes; Hypocreales; Cordycipitaceae.